GGAGCUGUAGUGUUUAACAGAUAGCACAGCGGGCUUUUAACUCGCAAGGUGCGGGUGCGAAUCCCGCCGGCUCCACCA
RNAcentral lists this transfer RNA (78 nucleotides) under Ereboglobus luteus. RNAcentral's name for it is "tRNA-Lys". It matches the Rfam family "tRNA". Rfam says of the family: Transfer RNA (tRNA) molecules are approximately 80 nucleotides in length. Their secondary structure includes four short double-helical elements and three loops (D, anti-codon, and T loops). The record is from RNAcentral. Lineage: Bacteria; Pseudomonadati; Verrucomicrobiota; Opitutia; Opitutales; Opitutaceae.